AAUGAAACUCUUAUGGAUUAAUUGUAUUUGUUUAGGUGCUGUUGCACAUGUUGUUUGAGCAUGCGUCCGGCUACGCGUUGUUUGUCGUGAAAGAGGUGGAGGAGAUCAGCAUGCUGCUGCCCCAGGUGGAGCAGUGUGUGCUGAGUCUGGCUAAAUUCAAUAGUAUGGUGAGCCUGGCUGCCUUUUUCCCCUUUAAAUCAGCACAAUCUGCCCUUGAGAACAUUAAUGCCAUUUCUGAAGGUAAGCUUUCUUUCCUUAAGUUUCUUGAAAUGUAUUGACUGAUUCAGAAUUCUUGUAAGCACGUUUCUCCCAUCCGUUAUUGUUUUUACUGCCCUCGGGUGUGGUGAUGUUUUCAAAUCUGUCAAUCCACUGAAAGACUGUGAUGACAGCCUUAUGUUCAACCUGAACAUCCGAGGGUACGAUUAUGC
This is a long non-coding RNA of Hippocampus comes (tiger tail seahorse), 428 nucleotides long. RefSeq lists it as uncharacterized. The transcript has 2 exons. Lineage: Eukaryota; Metazoa; Chordata; Actinopteri; Syngnathiformes; Syngnathidae. The record is from RefSeq and is a predicted model, not a curated record.